AAGUCGUAACAAGGUUUCCGUAGGUGAACCUGCGGAAGGAUCAUUAACACGUAUCCACGUUUAUCACCCGAGAAUUAUCUUAGGAUUAAACUUAUUGACCUCGAGAUGUUGAGCUUGGCUUGGUUCUG
RNAcentral lists this unclassified non-coding RNA (128 nucleotides) under fungal sp. Its description in RNAcentral is "partial internal transcribed spacer region". The stretch from base 1 to 46 matches the Rfam family "Eukaryotic small subunit ribosomal RNA", at positions 1786 to 1831 of the family's 1831-position model. Lineage: Eukaryota; Fungi. The record is from RNAcentral.